Molecule: ribosomal RNA, 2079 nt
Filed under: Triticum aestivum (bread wheat)
Lineage: Eukaryota; Viridiplantae; Streptophyta; Magnoliopsida; Poales; Poaceae
Description: partial small subunit ribosomal RNA
Source: RNAcentral
AUGGCCUCCUCGUCCGGCGCGCUGCCGCCGACCCGCCGCCCGCGCCCCGGCCCCUGGCCCCCGGCGCCGCCGCCGCAGCCGCAGGCGCAGCCCCUCUCCUGGGCCAAGCGCACCGGCUUCCAGCCCCGCGUCUCCGGCGAGUCCAGCGCCACCGCCUCCGCCCCGAGCUCCGGGCAGGCCCCGCUCCCCCGCCCGCCCGGCGCCCCCGCCGAUCUGGAGUCCGGCCCGCCGGCCCGGCCCAGCCCCGCCCUGCCGCCCCCUCCCGCCGCCGCGGCGACCAAUGCCAAGCAGCAGCAGCCGCCGCCGCCGCCACAGCAGCGACAGCAACCGCCCGCAGCGCCUCCCGCGAGGACGCGCAGGAGGGAUUCGGAUGGAGGGAGGCCGAACGGGCAGCCGGCCGCGGCGCCGCUGCCGCAGCUGCAGGAGGAAGAGGAUGUGCCGGAGCGGCCGGCGCACGUGAAGUACGAGCUUCGUGACUCUCCUGGAAUAUUUCCAGUAGUGAUAUACGGAUUCCAGCAUUACAUCUCCAUGCUCGGGUCGAUCAUCCUGGUCCCGCUCGUGAUGGUUCCUGCAAUGGGUGGCUCAGCCGAUGACACGGCAGCGGUGGUAUCGACGGUGUUGCUAGUUUCGGGAUUAACCACAUUGUUGCACACAUUGUUCGGAACGAGGUUGCCACUUGUGCAGGGGCCAUCCUUUGUGUACCUUGCCCCCGCUCUUGCAAUUAUCAACUCCCCUGAAUUCUUUGGGCUCAAUGACAAUAACUUUAAACACAUUAUGAAGCACCUGCAGGGAGCUAUCAUAAUAGGAGGUGUAUUUCAAGUGCUGCUGGGAUAUACAGGCCUCAUGUCACUAUUUCUAAGGUUGAUAAAUCCAGUUGUCGUCUCACCAACGGUUGCAGCUGUUGGACUUUCGUUUUUCAGUUAUGGGUUCACUAAAGUAGGGUCAUGUAUAGAGAUGGGCCUCUUGCAAUUAAUGAUGGUCAUUAUCUUUGCACUAUACUUUCGGAAAAUAAAGUUAUUUGGCUACCGGGUUUUUUUAAUUUAUGCGGUUCCUCUUGGUCUAGGAAUCACAUGGGCUGUUGCUUUCGCUUUGACAGCAAGUGGAGUUUACAGCUACAAAGGUUGUGAUGCAAAUAUUCCUGCUUCAAACAAUAUAUCAGCCUUUUGCCGGAAGCAUGUAUUGAGGAUGAAAUCUUGCCGUGUAGACACUUCACAUGCCUUGAGAGUUUCUCCUUGGUUCAGAUUUCCGUAUCCGUUGCAAUGGGGCACUCCAGUUUUCAAUUGGAAAAUGGGCCUUGUGAUGUGUCUUGUAUCAGUUAUUGCAUCAGUUGAUUCUGUUGGUUCCUACCAUGCGUCAUCUUUGUUUGUGGCCACAAGACCACCAACAGUUGGAAUUGUUAGCAGGGGUAUAGGCGUUGAGGGUAUCUCCACAGUCUUGGCUGGCCUGUGGGGAACAGGAGUUGGAUCAGCAACAAUAACAGAAAAUGUACACACGAUCGCUGUGACUAAAAUGGGUAGCCGCAAGGCAGUUGGAUUUGGUGCUAUUGUACUUAUACUUCUCUCUGUUGUUGGAAAAGUUGGUGGUUUCAUUGCUUCCAUCCCUGAUGUUAUGGUUGCUGCUCUCCUUUGUUUCAUGUGGGCCAUGCUCUGUGCUCUUGGCUUGUCCAAUCUUCGUUAUGGUGCCACAGGAAGCUCGAGAAACAGUAUUGUAGUUGGGCUAGCAUUGUUUUUAUCCCUAUCAGUUCCUUCAUACUUCCAACAGUACGGAUUACUUCCGAACACAAACUCAUCAGUUCCAACCUACUUUCAGCCAUAUAAUGUUGCAUCACAUGGGCCUGUAGACACUGGAUUUGUUGGGGUAAACUACGUCCUCAAUACGGUACUGUCACUCAAUAUGGUGAUUGCAUUUCUGGUUGCUGUCAUACUCGACAAUACAGUCCCUGGUGGGCGCCAAGAGCGGGGCUUGUAUGUAUGGUCAGAAGCAGAGGAGGCGACAAGAGAACCAUCCUUCUUGAAAGACUAUGAACUUCCUUUCAAGAUAGGGCGGGCGUUCAGGUGGGUCAAAUGCAUGGGCCUAUAG